RNAcentral lists this ribosomal RNA (497 nucleotides) under uncultured bacterium. Its description in RNAcentral is "partial 16S ribosomal RNA". It matches the Rfam family "Bacterial small subunit ribosomal RNA", at positions 28 to 507 of the family's 1533-position model. The record is from RNAcentral.
GACGAACGCUGGCGGCGUGCCUAAUACAUGCAAGUUGAGCGCUGAAGGUUGGUACUUGUACCGACUGGAUGAGCAGCGAACGGGUGAGUAACGCGUGGGGAAUCUGCCUUUGAGCGGGGGACAACAUUUGGAAACGAAUGCUAAUACCGCAUAAAAACUUUAAACACAAGUUUUAAGUUUGAAAGAUGCAAUUGCAUCACUCAAAGAUGACCCCGCGUUGUAUUAGCUAGUUGGUGAGGUAAAGGCUCACCAAGGCGAUGAUACAUAGCCGACCUGAGGGGGUGAUCGGCCACAUUGGGACUGAGACACGGCCCAAACUCCUACGGGAGGCAGCAGUAGGGAAUCUUCGGCAAUGGACGAAAGUCUGACCGAGCAACGCCGCGUGAGUGAAGAAGGUUUUCGGAUCGUAAAACUCUGUUGGUAGAGAAGAACGUUGGUGAGAGUGGAAAGCUCAUCAAGUGACGGUAACUACCCAGAAAGGGACGGCUAACUACGUG